This 440-nucleotide ribosomal RNA is filed under the name uncultured bacterium. Its description in RNAcentral is "partial 16S ribosomal RNA". It matches the Rfam family "Bacterial small subunit ribosomal RNA", at positions 338 to 795 of the family's 1533-position model. The record is from RNAcentral.
CCUACGGGAGGCAGCAGUGGGGGAUAUUGCACACUGGGGGGAACCCUGAUGCAGCGACGCCGCGUGGGUGAAGAAGCGCCUCGGCGCGUAAAGCCCUGUCAGCAGGGAAGAAAAUGACGGUACCUGAAGAAGAAGCCCCGGCGAACUACGUGCCAGCAGCCGCGGUAAUACGAAGGGGGCAAGCGUUAUCCGGAUUUCCUGGGUGUAAAGGGGGCGCAGACGGCGAUGCAAGCCAGGAGUGAAAGCCCGGGGCCCAACCCCGGGACUGCUCUUGGAACUGCGUGGCUGGAGUGCAGGCGGGUCAGGCGGAUUUCCUGUUGUAGCGGUGCAAUGCGUCGAUAUCAGGAGGAACACCGGUGGCGCAGGCGGCCUGCUGGACUGCACCUGCCGUUGCGGCCCGACAGCGUGGGGAGCAAACAGGCUUAGCUCCCCGGGUAGUC